This 494-nucleotide ribosomal RNA is filed under the name uncultured bacterium. RNAcentral describes it as "partial 16S ribosomal RNA". It matches the Rfam family "Bacterial small subunit ribosomal RNA", at positions 28 to 507 of the family's 1533-position model. The record is from RNAcentral.
GACGAACGCUGGCGGCGUGCUUAACACAUGCAAGUCGAACGGUGAAGCGCCUUCCUUUUUGGUGGGUGUGGAUGAGUGGCGAACGGGUGAGUAACACGUGAGUAACCUGCCCCCUUCUUCUGGAUAACCGCAUGAGAGUGUGGCUAAUACGGGAUAUUCUGGGUCUGUCGCAUGAUGGGUCUGGGAAAGAUAUUGUUUCGGUGGGGGAUGGGCUCGCGGCCUAUCAGCUUGUUGGUGGGGUGAUGGCCUACCAAGGCGGUGACGGGUAGCCGGCCGGGGAGGGUGGACGGUCACGCUGGGACUGAGCCACGGCCCCGCCUCCGGCGGGCGGCAGCAGUGGGGAUUAUUGCACAGUGGGCGCCAGCCUGAUGCAGCGCCGCCGCGUGAGGGAUGGAGGCCUUCGGGUUGUGAACCUCUUUCGCCAGUGAAGCAGGCCUGCCUCGUUUGUGGGUGGGUUGACGGUAGCUGGAUAAGAAGCGCCGGCUAACUACGUG